GGGGGUGAUAUAGGAAUCGAUUGGAUGAGGAAGAAUGUUGCUUCGUGCCGUGGUUCAUCGGAAGGCCACGUAAAAAUCCGAUGACAAAUUAGGUGCCGACAACGGCUACCGCAUGGCUGCCUAGGAAUAGGUAGUCCCGAUCCCGGCGAGGUUGUCGUCGUAGCUGGAGAUCGGACGAACUACGACUGGAUCAUCUGCGUUCGGCGUUCAGGUGAUUGAGACAUAAUUCGCCGUGUAGGCCUAGGCGAUCUUGCUGGAAUCUGUUGACCAAAGGCCGAAGGCGAUCAGAACCUUCUACGCACGUAAACGCGCAUUUGGAUGCAUUUCAAGACCCCGGUUCGAAUCCGGGCACCUCCACCA
Molecule: transfer-messenger RNA, 360 nt
Filed under: Marinobacter sp.
Lineage: Bacteria; Pseudomonadati; Pseudomonadota; Gammaproteobacteria; Pseudomonadales; Marinobacteraceae
Rfam family: transfer-messenger RNA
About the family: Bacterial tmRNA, also known as 10Sa RNA or SsrA, is named for its dual tRNA and mRNA-like properties. Its role is to liberate the mRNA from a stalled ribosome. To accomplish this part of the tmRNA is used as a reading frame that ends in a translation stop signal.
Source: RNAcentral